AGUGAACGCUGGCGGUAGGCCUAACACAUGCAAGUCGAACGGCAGCACAGUAAGAGCUUGCUCUUACGGGUGGCGAGUGGCGGACGGGUGAGGAAUACAUCGGAAUCUACUUUUUCGUGGGGGAUAACGUAGGGAAACUUACGCUAAUACCGCAUACGACCUACGGGUGAAAGCGGGGGAUCUUCGGACCUUGCGCGAUUGAAUGAGCCGAUGUCGGAUUAGCUAGUUGGCGGGGUAAAGGCCCACCAAGGCGACGAUCCGUAGCUGGUCUGAGAGGAUGAUCAGCCACACUGGAACUGAGACACGGUCCAGACUCCUACGGGAGGCAGCAGUGGGGAAUAUUGGACAAUGGGCGCAAGCCUGAUCCAGCCAUACCGCGUGGGUGAAGAAGGCCUUCGGGUUGUAAAGCCCUUUUGUUGGGAAAGAAAAGCAGCAGGUUAAUACCCCGCUGUUCUGACGGUACCCAAAAAAUAAGCACCGGCUAACUUCGUG
This 492-nucleotide ribosomal RNA is filed under the name uncultured bacterium. RNAcentral's name for it is "partial 16S ribosomal RNA". It matches the Rfam family "Bacterial small subunit ribosomal RNA", at positions 29 to 507 of the family's 1533-position model. The record is from RNAcentral.